UUAAAUUUGAAAAAAGACGAAUGAAAAACUAUUUUAAGAAAUUUACUAAUUGCUUUCUUUUCUUACAUUUUGAAGGUGGAGUAGAGCUAGGUUUUGGACAAUCACUCAUCUAAAUCUUGUCAAAUAGUGGUGAUAAGGAUUUAUGCGUAAAAUCUACAGGAUUUUUAUACUUAGAGAUUUUGUUCGUAGUUAUCAUCCUUUGUUCAGGAUUGUAAAUGUGUCCGUCUUCAGCAAUCAUAGGUUUAAGCAUUUCCAUCAUAGUGAUACUUUGGAAUUGAGCAUGUUACAUGCAUGCUUCUUUUUAUUUUUCAUUUUCUGUUUUGUAAGUUAGGAUUCAUCAAAACAAGAUCAAUGGGAACUUGAAAAGCCAUUAAAUAUUGUUAAAAGGCAAA
Molecule: long non-coding RNA, 392 nt
Organism: Glycine soja
Lineage: Eukaryota; Viridiplantae; Streptophyta; Magnoliopsida; Fabales; Fabaceae
Exons: 2
Source: RefSeq, a predicted model, not a curated record